GAAGUGUAGGACAGAAUUUUAUAUGUUGCAUUAUAAAAUACUGUACCUACAUUACG
This 56-nucleotide non-coding RNA is filed under the name Spodoptera frugiperda (fall armyworm). Lineage: Eukaryota; Metazoa; Arthropoda; Insecta; Lepidoptera; Noctuidae. The record is from RNAcentral.